AGAGUUUGAUCCUGGCUCAGGAUGAACGCUAGCUACAGGCUUAACACAUGCAAGUCGAGGGGCAGCAUUUUAGUUUGCUUGCAAACUAAAGAUGGCGACCGGCGCACGGGUGAGUAACACGUAUCCAACCUGCCGAUAACUCAGGGAUAGCCUUUCGAAAGAAAGAUUAAUACCGGAUGGCAUAGGAUUGUCGCAUGAUGAUCCUAUUAAAGAAUUUCGGUUAUCGAUGGGGAUGCGUUCCAUUAGGCAGUUGGUGAGGUAACGGCUCACCAAACCUUCGAUGGAUAGGGGUUCUGAGAGGAAGGUCCCCCACAUUGGAACUGAGACACGGUCCAAACUCCUACGGGAGGCAGCAGUGAGGAAUAUUGGUCAAUGGACGGGAGUCUGAACCAGCCAAGUAGCGUGAAGGAUGACUGCCCUA
Molecule: ribosomal RNA, 421 nt
Filed under: Bacteroides finegoldii DSM 17565
Lineage: Bacteria; Pseudomonadati; Bacteroidota; Bacteroidia; Bacteroidales; Bacteroidaceae
Description: bacterial SSU rRNA
Rfam family: Bacterial small subunit ribosomal RNA
Source: RNAcentral